Molecule: long non-coding RNA, 3023 nt
Organism: Passer domesticus (house sparrow)
Lineage: Eukaryota; Metazoa; Chordata; Aves; Passeriformes; Passeridae
Exons: 4
Source: RefSeq, a predicted model, not a curated record
UGUUCCCUCGUUGGUUCCCCCGCGGGCCGGGCUGCCCGGGUCAGCGGCGGGGGGCGCGGCGUGGCCGUGGCAUCCCCGCGUGUACCGCAGCCUCGUCCUCGGAGGGCUUUGGCUGGGCUGAUGCCAGAGGGAGAUCACCCGACACUGCCGCGGUCGGACUGUCACCCUUGUAGGGAAGCCAGGAGAAGGCAGUUGUCAAGUAUCUCUGUGGUGGAAGACAGGACUUCCAGGUCAGUAGUGCUCCUGAGUGCUGCUAUGUGCUUCUCAAAUUCCAUGUUUGAGGAGGCACAGUUUACUGUAAAUCUCAAACAUGACACAUUUUUCCGAGGAUCUUGUUGUUCUACUGAUCAUCUCUGCUGUUCCUACAAUGUGCAGCCCAGUAAAGUCUGUUCCUGCUGUUAAGGAAUCCUCAACAAAGUAGUUGAACAAAUGUUCAGAGAAUGCCAUGUAAAAUCUGGAGAACAUCUUGUCAUUCCAGUUAUAUCUGAGUUUUUACCCAAAUCUUGCAUCUGUGAGUCAUUUUACUACUGUUUUCAUCUUGGCUUUAUAUGGUAUCCACUACAUCUUCUUGCAGCGCUCUGUUGCCAUUAGUGGAUCACUAAAGGAAAAUCACGCUCUUAUUUAAGUCUGACUCCUAUAAUUUACUCUCUCCCAAACUGUAGAAAGGAGUUUGUCCAUUGUGGAUUGGGGUAGGAUGGAGGCUUUACCCUGAAAAGACGCUAAUUUGAACAAGUUUCCAAUAUAUCUCAAGGUAUUCAAAUGACCUUAAAUUCCUUAAAAAACAAAUCAGCACAAGUGACAUCCCUGCAUUUACCAUAAAAGUAGUUUAUGAAAGGACAAAAGUACAUGCUAAUUCUGAAAGUCCAGAUUUCUGUUCAUCAGUUUGAAAAAAAUAGUAUUUAUUGGAGUUUAGUGCUAUUACACAGGAUGUUUAUAGUCACAAAGUGUAAUCUGAGAAUGAACUUCAAAAUGUGCAUCUCAUCACUCAAUUUUCAUUACUUCUGGAGAGUUUUUCUGUAUAUAUGCCAGUGCAUCUGACAGAUCCUAACACUAGCUCUUAUUAUUACCACAUCCCCAGCAGUGUGCAUUCAGAAAGCAGAAAAGAGAGUUUCUCCCCUCCUCAGAUAAACUCUGACCCAAUUUGGGCUAAUCUUGGGAAGGGCAAGUAUUGCUGAAAGCUACUGGGGAGCUUCAAGAGGAAGAGGACACAGAAGAGCUUUGCAUGACAGUCCAAUAUAAGUCAAAGCUUAGUCACUUAUUAGCUCAGCAUUGAUGACAUUAGCCACUCUACAUUCAGCCUCAGCCUCAUUUCUUCAGAUGUUUUAUUGUUAUGGAAAGUUUUUUAAUAGAAAAAGAUAUGAUAAAACAUCAGCUUCUACACAUAAUUAUCCUUAAAGCAAUGAAAAAUACGCAGAGCAUAAAUUUCUGUCCUACCAUAGCUUCUGUCUGAGCAGGGAUAUUGUAGAACAUUUUCUUGAAAGUUCAAAGAAUAAAUCUCAUUUUGUUUCCUUUUGUUAUGAUCAUCAGACAGAGGUGAAUGAGCAUGAUUUGUUUUCUGACUCCAGAUAUCCUGUGGGAAUCCUGGAAGGUUACAGAGGGCACAAAGCACUUUGAAAAACAAGAUAGAAAUAAUUUGGUCUCAAUGCUGAUUUAUUUUCCUACUUACUAAAGUAGGGAAAACCUAAGGGUUAAAUUUAUGACAUUGUUGUGCUCUUGAAUGUGAGAUCUGCUAGCUUUGAUGCUGUCAACAGUGUGAUUCAAGUUGUGGUGUUCCUGCAUAAUUUCUGAGGAUGUCUGCAAGAGGAGAAAUUCAGGAAUUUGCCAAGGUGUGAGCAAGAAGAGCCUAAAAAAAACUACCACUCAAGAAGUGACUUUAGCACUAAAAGGAGUUAUGAAAACUUCAGCUACAGCAGGUAUAUCCUGAGUGGAGCAGCACAGCCAAAUCUGUGAAGGAGUGUGUUGUCAGGGCACUGAAUAACCAGAGCAGACAUUGCAAGAUUCCCUAUUUUUCUGGAUGAAAUAAACCAUGCCAGUAAAUUCAAGUCAUUCUGUUGUCACCAGGGGCCCUUACCAAACUGUUGAUAUGGGAUUUUAUCUUUUGCCACUUUUCCCUGAAUUACAUCAGAGAUGUUUUGCAAUUUAUAUAUGACCUGUCUAAUGCAAAAUAGAAGUAAAGAUCUUUGUUUUUUCAGUUUUAUUCUCCAAUGAGUACCAGUAGAGUAAUAGUGAACAAAUACAUACUUUUAUCUUGCCACUUUUCAUUAAGUCUUAGUAGUAGGCAUAGAGGGAGAAACAUUAGGAGGUUAAGAAUAUCUUAUUCUUGAUAUUCAUUUUGCUGUGUGGGCAAAUCAGUGCGCUUCUCUUUGCCCUUCUUUCUCAAUCUGUGAAACAGAGAUACUUCUGCUCUGAGAUUUGAGAUGGCUGGGCAGUGCUAUUGUGGUCUAAAUCCCAGGGCUGUUUCAGAAACCUGAAGGAAUCAGCAUCACUGUGACUUAGUUGGGAACAGUCCUGGUUUGGUCUAGGUAUGUGUCAGCAGAAAAAUUGACCUCAGGAGGGUAAGACUGAAACUGUGACUUAUCUACUAGUGAUGAUAGUGCUGUAAAAUGCAAGGAAAGAUCUGCACUGUUGAAGGAGAUGUGCUUUUGGUACAUUCAAAGAUGUGUCUUGUGGUUGCUUCUGUGGUAGCUGUAGGUCUGGAAGGAAAUUAGGAAAUAUGGUUGUGAAAGAAAAAGAUAUGUUGACCAGAGCACUAGGAGACAAUUACCCUCUCUCCUAUAGCAUAACAGGAAUUGACUGUUUUCUUUUAUGAUUGAAAAUAAGAUAUAUUCUAUUCCAAAAAGACUUCUUGAAAGGCUGGCUCCGUUAGUUAUAGCAACCUCUCCUCAGUCACACUCCAGCUUGCCCUCUGGGCAGCCCUGUAAAGGGUCCAUGGUUUGUUUAUAGUCUCAUCACCUCCUAUUUAAGGCUUGGAGGGUAUGCUCAGAGGAAAAAUGUCAGGCAGUACCUGUGCUGUAGGAAAUUGU